This 403-nucleotide ribosomal RNA is filed under the name uncultured Eubacterium sp. RNAcentral describes it as "bacterial SSU rRNA". It matches the Rfam family "Bacterial small subunit ribosomal RNA", at positions 355 to 774 of the family's 1533-position model. Lineage: Bacteria; Bacillati; Bacillota; Clostridia; Eubacteriales; Eubacteriaceae. The record is from RNAcentral.
UGGGGAAUAUUGCACAAUGGGCGCAAGCCUGAUGCAGCAACGCCGCGUGAGGGAAGACGGUUUUCGGAUUGUAAACCUCUGUCAUUAGUGACGAAGAAGUGACGGUAGCUAAUGAGGAAGCCACGGCUAACUACGUGCCAGCAGCCGCGGUAAUACGUAGGUGGCGAGCGUUAUCCGGAAUUACUGGGUGUAAAGGGAGCGCAGGCGGGAUAGCAAGUCAGCGGUGAAAUGCAUGGGCUAACCCAUGAGCUGCCGUUGAAACUGUUAUUCUUGAGUGGAGUAGAGGCAGGCGGAAUUCCGAGUGUAGCGGUGAAAUGCGUAGAUAUUCGGAGGAACACCAGUGGCGAAGGCGGUCUGCUGGGCUCUAACUGACGCUGAGGCUCGAAAGUGUGGGGAGCAAACA